RNAcentral lists this small nuclear RNA (336 nucleotides) under Pteropus vampyrus (large flying fox). RNAcentral describes it as "7SK RNA (ENSPVAG00000026215.1)". It matches the Rfam family "7SK RNA". From Rfam's summary of the family: 7SK was discovered as an abundant small nuclear RNA in the mid-70s but a possible function has only recently been suggested. Two independent studies have found that 7SK RNA binds the CDK9/cyclin T complex (known as elongation factor P-TEFb). Lineage: Eukaryota; Metazoa; Chordata; Mammalia; Chiroptera; Pteropodidae. The record is from Rfam by way of RNAcentral.
GGAUGUGAGGGUGAUCUGGCUGCGACAUCCAUCACCCCAUUGAUCCCCAGGGUUGAUUCGGCUGAUCUGGCUGGCUAGGUAGGUGUCCUCGUCCUCCCUCACUGCUCCAUGUGAGUCCCUUCUGAAGCUGAUGCUCGGUCAAAGAGGAUGACCUUCCCCAAUAGAGGAGAGAACCGUUCUUUGGUCAAGGGUAUACGAGUAGCUGCGCUCCCCUGCUAGAACCUCCAAUCAAUAUACUAGAGUGAUUUGAAAAUAAUAAUAAAAGUGAGAUAUUUCAUGGAAAAGUUUGGAGGUAAAGUCAGGACUGUAAUCCGCGAGUUAUCCUGGGGUAAACGC